CUCAUCAACUCCUCUUUACAGGCAUCUUUAUCCGGAAUUCAACUCGUCCCAAACUCCACGAGUUGGUGUUGCUCUGCUUGUGUUUUUGAAUCCAGGGGCCUCUUUGAAUCAGAAGCCCUUUGUAUAGAGAUAAGUAUCCUUUAGGCCAGAAUCAGCUUCCAUUGUUUUCGCAGUCCCAUUUCCUACCCGUAAUUCUGAUUUUAAAGCCAUUUGGUAGAGAAGGGGCAGGGAACAGAACUUUCGCCCCCCCGCCUGAGCGCCUGGUAGACUAGAUAUCUUCCAAACAUUAUCUCAUUUACUUCCCUGGAGUUACAAAUAGGUAGAUUUCAUGUCCGUUGAGGGAUGAGAAAGCUGAAACUUUGAGACUUAAGAAUCCUGGCCGAGGUCAGCCUCCUCCGAAGCUUCAUCUCUUGCCACCACUUUCUGGUGCACACCUACGACAGAUUUCAAUCCCUGAGAUCCCAGGAUGAAACCUAUGUUUGCCAAAUACCAGCUACUGUGCCAGAAGAGAUCAUGGAACCAGGUGUGGCAACCUGCUUGAGAAGAGGAGCCAAAACAUCAUAGUUGAACCGUCCUGGAAUAGAACUGAACCUCAAAAAGUUAGCCUGGUGAGGCUGGAGGAUGAUGAGAUUUCCCCUCUUGUCACAUAAACAAGGAAGUAAAGGAGGCCCCUUGUGCUCUCAGAACUCCAAGCAUGAAACAAUUUUCUGCCAUUUCAGUUCCUGUUAUCAUGCUUCCAGGUGCACUGAACUGCAGCAAACCCAGGGGAUCCAAGGCUAUGUUGAAAAGCCUUUGACCGCAGUGCAGGGAGCAGAAGACAUUAAUGACGUGAUGUUGACGCAGCCCGCACUCAGGAUCCUCCAGAAAAAGAACACAGAGAUAACCCCAGAUCGAUGGUACUUUUUGAAAAUGCCUUACUGCAAAAGAGUGGCUAGGGUUUUACAAGGGCUGUGAAGAAACAUAUUAAGGUUAAUAAAGCUUUUU
This 984-nucleotide long non-coding RNA is filed under the name Pongo abelii (Sumatran orangutan). RNAcentral describes it as "lncRNA (ENSPPYG00000039027.1)". The record is from RNAcentral. Lineage: Eukaryota; Metazoa; Chordata; Mammalia; Primates; Hominidae.